Molecule: ribosomal RNA, 442 nt
Filed under: Wolbachia endosymbiont of Trioza erytreae
Lineage: Bacteria; Pseudomonadati; Pseudomonadota; Alphaproteobacteria; Rickettsiales; Anaplasmataceae
Description: bacterial SSU rRNA
Rfam family: Bacterial small subunit ribosomal RNA
Source: RNAcentral
CAUACCUCUUUUUUAAGGGAUAGGGUCGGUUCGGCCGGAUUUUACACAGGUGUUGCAUGGCUGUCGUCAGCUCGUGUCGUGAGAUGUUGGGUUAAGUCCCGCAACGAGCGCAACCCUCAUCCUUAGUUGCCAUCAGGUAAUGCUGAGCACUUUAAGGAAACUGCCAGUGAUAAGCUGGAGGAAGAUGGGGAUGAUGUCAAGUCAUCAUGGCCUUUAUGAAGUGGGCUACACACGUGCUACAAUGGUGUCUACAGUGGGCUGCAAGGUGCGCAAGCCUAAGCUAAUCCCUAAAAGACAUCUCAGUUCGGAUUGUACUCUGCAACUCGAGUGCAUGAAGUUGGAAUCGCUAGUAAUCGUGGAUCAGCAUGCCACGGUGAAUACGUUCUCGGGUCUUGUACACCACUGCCCGUCACGCCAUGGGAAUUGGUUCCUCCCGAACCUA